CGCCCCUUCCCGAGGAGCGGUGCCGGUUGCUAACCCCGGGUGAGCCUUAAGUCUGCGCCUUGGGCUCGGGUCUCGUAGGCGCCAGCCAGCAACCUUCAGAUGCUUGGGCCUCCGUUUGGCAAACGUUCUGCGCCAGAGGAGGACGGCGCGAGGGGGCCCCAGGAGCCCAGGGUCUGGCGGAGGAGGGCCGGGCGCGGCGGACGUAGAGCAAGUUUUGCUGCAAAGGAGAGCAGAGAAGAGGCCAUAACCAAGGGGAGACGCUCACGCUCACGCUCAGCAUGCCAGAUGCUCCCUGGACACUGCAGGAGGGAAGUCUGCCGGCAGAGGAGGGAGCCGCACCACUGGUGUCACGUAACUGGCAGGAUCCCAGGCUCUUCUUUUCCUCCCAGAGCAGCAGGACAGGAGGAGAUGGAACACGGUGCUGGCAGCAUUCCCACCUCCUUGGGAGACAUCGCAAGUGGACGGGAAGCCAGUGGCCCAACCUGUGUCCCCCCACUGAGAACACUGGAGACACCAAGGCAGAGCUG
Molecule: long non-coding RNA, 527 nt
Filed under: Heterocephalus glaber (naked mole-rat)
Lineage: Eukaryota; Metazoa; Chordata; Mammalia; Rodentia; Bathyergidae
Description: lncRNA (ENSHGLG00000050509.1)
Source: RNAcentral